Small nuclear RNA from Suncus etruscus (white-toothed pygmy shrew), 108 nucleotides. NCBI's taxonomy places the organism in Eukaryota, Metazoa, Chordata, Mammalia, Eulipotyphla, Soricidae. The record is from RefSeq and is a predicted model, not a curated record.
GUGCUCGCUUCGGCAGCACAUAUACUAAAAUUGGAAAGAUACAGAGAAGAUUAGCAUGGCCCCUGUGCAAGGAUGAUACACAAAUAAAAAUAAACAAACAUUAAUUAA